This 1205-nucleotide ribosomal RNA is filed under the name Salmonella enterica subsp. enterica serovar Heidelberg str. RI-11-013312. RNAcentral describes it as "bacterial LSU rRNA". It matches the Rfam family "Bacterial large subunit ribosomal RNA", at positions 1745 to 2925 of the family's 2925-position model. Lineage: Bacteria; Pseudomonadati; Pseudomonadota; Gammaproteobacteria; Enterobacterales; Enterobacteriaceae. The record is from RNAcentral.
GGCACGCUGACACGUAGGUGAAGUGAUUUACUCAUGGAGCUGAAGUCAGUCGAAGAUACCAGCUGGCUGCAACUGUUUAUUAAAAACACAGCACUGUGCAAACACGAAAGUGGACGUAUACGGUGUGACGCCUGCCCGGUGCCGGAAGGUUAAUUGAUGGGGUCAGCGCAAGCGAAGCUCCUGAUCGAAGCCCCGGUAAACGGCGGCCGUAACUAUAACGGUCCUAAGGUAGCGAAAUUCCUUGUCGGGUAAGUUCCGACCUGCACGAAUGGCGUAAUGAUGGCCAGGCUGUCUCCACCCGAGACUCAGUGAAAUUGAACUCGCUGUGAAGAUGCAGUGUACCCGCGGCAAGACGGAAAGACCCCGUGAACCUUUACUAUAGCUUGACACUGAACAUUGAGCCUUGAUGUGUAGGAUAGGUGGGAGGCUUUGAAGCGUGGACGCCAGUCUGCGUGGAGCCGACCUUGAAAUACCACCCUUUAAUGUUUGAUGUUCUAACGUGGACCCGUAAUCCGGGUUGCGGACAGUGUCUGGUGGGUAGUUUGACUGGGGCGGUCUCCUCCUAAAGAGUAACGGAGGAGCACGAAGGUUGGCUAAUCCUGGUCGGACAUCAGGAGGUUAGUGCAAUGGCAUAAGCCAGCUUGACUGCGAGCGUGACGGCGCGAGCAGGUGCGAAAGCAGGUCAUAGUGAUCCGGUGGUUCUGAAUGGAAGGGCCAUCGCUCAACGGAUAAAAGGUACUCCGGGGAUAACAGGCUGAUACCGCCCAAGAGUUCAUAUCGACGGCGGUGUUUGGCACCUCGAUGUCGGCUCAUCACAUCCUGGGGCUGAAGUAGGUCCCAAGGGUAUGGCUGUUCGCCAUUUAAAGUGGUACGCGAGCUGGGUUUAGAACGUCGUGAGACAGUUCGGUCCCUAUCUGCCGUGGGCGCUGGAGAACUGAGGGGGGCUGCUCCUAGUACGAGAGGACCGGAGUGGACGCAUCACUGGUGUUCGGGUUGUCAUGCCAAUGGCACUGCCCGGUAGCUAAAUGCGGAAGAGAUAAGUGCUGAAAGCAUCUAAGCACGAAACUUGCCCCGAGAUGAGUUCUCCCUGAGACUUAGAGUCUCCUGAAGGAACGUUGAAGACGACGACGUUGAUAGGCCGGGUGUGUAAGCGCAGCGAUGCGUUGAGCUAACCGGUACUAAUGAACCGUGAGGCUUAACCUUAC